UGCGUACCUUUUGUAUAAUGGGUCAGCGACUUAUAUUCUGUAGCAAGGUUAACCGUAUAGGGGAGCCGGAGGGAAACCGAGUCUUAACCGGGCGUUAAGUUGCAGGGUAUAGACCCGAAACCCGGUGAUCUAGCCAUGGGCAGGUUGAAGGUUGGGUAACACUAACUGGAGGACCGAACCGACUAAUGUUGAAAAAUUAGCGGAUGACCUGUGGCUGGGGGUGAAAGGCCAAUCAAACCGGGAGAUAGCUGGUUCUCCCCGAAAGCUAUUUAGGUAGCGCCUCGUGAAUUCAUCUCCGGGGGUAGAGCACUGUUUCGGCUAGGGGGCCAUCCCGGCUUACCAACCCGAUGCAAACUGCGAAUACCGGAGAAUGUUAUCACGGGAGACACACGGCGGGUGCUAACGUCCGUCGUGAAGAGGGAAACAACCCAGACCGCCAGCUAAGGUCCCAAAGUCAUGGUUAAGUGGGAAACGAUGUGGGAAGGCCCAGACAGCCAGGAUGUUGGCUUAGAAGCAGCCAUCAUUUAAAGAAAGCGUAAUAGCUCACUGGUCGAGUCGGCCUGCGCGGAAGAUGUAACGGGGCUAAACCAUGCACCGAAGCUGCGGCAGCGAACGUAUCACCCAAGACAACUUUACGGAGUUGACGAUUGACGGAGCGAAGCGACGUCAAAGCGUUCAUUAAAGUCGAGUUGGCUUAGGGAUACGUUCGUUGGGUAGGGGAGCGUUCUGUAAGCCUGUGAAGGUGUGUCGUGAGGCAUGCUGGAGGUAUCAGAAGUGCGAAUGCUGACAUAAGUAACGAUAAAGCGGGUGAAAAGCCCGCUCGCCGGAAGACCAAGGGUUCCUGUCCAACGUUAAUCGGGGCAGGGUGAGUCGACCCCUAAGGCGAGGCCGAAAGGCGUAGUCGAUGGGAAACGGGUUAAUAUUCCCGUACUUGGUGUUACUGCGAAGGGGGGACGGAGAAGGCUAUGUUGGCCGGGCGACGGUUGUCCCGGUUUAAGCGUGUAGGUGUGUGUUCCAGGUAAAUCCGGUUCACUUUAACACUGAGGCGUGACGACGAGGCACUACGGUGCUGAAGCAACAAAUGCCCUGCUUCCAGGAAAAGCCUCUAAGCAUCAGGUAACACGAAAUCGUACCCCAAACCGACACAGGUGGUCAGGUAGAGAAUACCAAGGCGCUUGAGAGAACUCGGGUGAAGGAACUAGGCAAAAUGGUGCCGUAACUUCGGGAGAAGGCACGCUGACACGUAGGUGAAGUGAUUUACUCAUGGAGCUGAAGUCAGUCGAAGAUACCAGCUGGCUGCAACUGUUUAUUAAAAACACAGCACUGUGCAAACACGAAAGUGGACGUAUACGGUGUGACGCCUGCCCGGUGCCGGAA
RNAcentral lists this ribosomal RNA (1377 nucleotides) under Salmonella enterica subsp. enterica serovar Typhimurium. Its description in RNAcentral is "partial 23S ribosomal RNA". It matches the Rfam family "Bacterial large subunit ribosomal RNA", at positions 598 to 1874 of the family's 2925-position model. Lineage: Bacteria; Pseudomonadati; Pseudomonadota; Gammaproteobacteria; Enterobacterales; Enterobacteriaceae. The record is from RNAcentral.